GACCUGAUGGUGGAGUUGGUACCACACCUGCUUUAAAUAAACUAAGCACAAGACUCUCUCAGCAGGAGGCCCCCGUUCGAUCCGGGGUCAGGUCA
This is a non-coding RNA of Mycena vulgaris, 95 nucleotides long. NCBI's taxonomy places the organism in Eukaryota, Fungi, Basidiomycota, Agaricomycetes, Agaricales, Mycenaceae. The record is from the annotation of a GenBank genome assembly.